CCUACGGGGGGCAGCAGUGGGGAAUAUUGGACAAUGGGCGAAAGCCUGAUCCAGCCAUGCCGCGUGUGUGAAGAAGGCCUUCGGGUUGUAAAGCACUUUCAGUGGGGAAGAAAGCCUUGGGGCUAAUACCCUCGAGGAAGGACAUCACCCACAGAAGAAGCACCGGCUAACUCCGUGCCAGCAGCCGCGGUAAUACGGAGGGUGCGAGCGUUAAUCGGAAUUACUGGGCGUAAAGCGCGCGUAGGCGGUCUGAUAAGCCGGUUGUGAAAGCCCCGGGCUCAACCUGGGAACGGCAUCCGGAACUGUCAGGCUAGAGUGCAGGAGAGGAAGGUAGAAUUCCCGGUGUAGCGGUGAAAUGCGUAGAGAUCGGGAGGAAUACCAGUGGCGAAGGCGGCCUUCUGGACUGACACUGACGCUGAGGUGCGAAAGCGUGGGUAGCAAACAGGAUUAGAUACCCCAGUAGU
RNAcentral lists this ribosomal RNA (464 nucleotides) under Vreelandella stevensii. Its description in RNAcentral is "partial 16S ribosomal RNA". It matches the Rfam family "Bacterial small subunit ribosomal RNA", at positions 338 to 794 of the family's 1533-position model. The record is from RNAcentral. Lineage: Bacteria; Pseudomonadati; Pseudomonadota; Gammaproteobacteria; Oceanospirillales; Halomonadaceae.